CAGGUGAGUGCAAUCUUGUGGUCACGUGAGCACAAAGAGCUAAUCACAGGCCACGGGUUUGCGCAGAAUCAGCUGACUAUCUGGAAAUACGUCACCAUGGAAAGAAUCUGUGAUUUGAAAGGUCAUACCAGCCGUGUAUUGGCCAUGUGCCUGUCGCCGGACGGAACCACCGUCGUUUCCGCUGGAGCCGACGAGACGCUCCGAUUCUGGAAUUGUUUCGCUCACCUGAAGAAGACAAAGAAACCAUCCACUAGCUCGAGAAGCAGCGAACCGUCCAAGGCACUGAACACAAGAACCAUAAGAUGAUGUAAUGUUGACAUAAUGUUUAGAUUGUUUCGUGACAUCCAAGGAUUCUAAGAAUGCUUUUAAUGUUUCAUGACAUCCAAGCCAAGGAAUCUAUGAUCAAAGAUAUUUUGACCGAGUAUGGAUGAAUAAUCAAGAUGGACGCCCAAUAAAUAUAUACAGGUGAUUGGCAGGCGUUAUAAUCUCCCAAAGAUUGGUUGAAAUACUUUGAAUCAUGAAGGGGAUUAAAAGGAAGGAGACUUGGUUUGCUUUUAGGUUAUGUAAUUCUGCUCUUAUGACAGCCACAGUGGGGGAAGCAAAGGAAAAAGUCUAAAAGAAAGAUGAAUGCAAAGGAGAAUGAAAGAAGAGGGAAAGCAGAAAACGAAUGGGAAGAAAAAUGACAAGCAAAAAGGGGAGGAGAAAACAAAAGGAAUAGGAUGAAGCAGAGAUGGAGAAGUAGAAGAUGGAAGAAAGAAAGCGAGAUCCCAAAAUCUAUAUACACCUGGAAAAGAUCAUGAAAAAGAGAGUAAAAGUUCAUAAAAGACAUACAAAUGAAUUGCAAUAUUUGGAAAUGUGUAAAAUAACUAUAAUAGUUCUUUUUAAGCAGUUCUUUUUUUAAAACAAAAUUUGUUUUCAUGCACAAAAAAUAUAAAUUGAAAUUGUAUUUUGUUGUUGUAAAAUAGAUAAGUGUUGUGAAUGUCCAUUUGUGUUAUAUAUGUAUCUCCUAUUAAAUUUUAAAGUAACAUCAGCUCAGCUCAUUAAUUAAGUAGAGUGGGGGUGUUGCCACCGGGGGGGGGGGGGGGAUGGGGAUAAAUGUAAAAAAAUAAUAAGCAGGCAAAUAUGGGAUUUGUUUGAAUAUAUAUUUAUGUUUAUUUUAAAGAUCUUACUCAAUGUUGUUUAAAUAUUUGAUUCAUCUAGGGGUGGCCAAAACUGUUAUGACACUGAUGAUGCUGGAACUAAUAUUUACUGCCAAUUCCAGUCGACAUGUCUUGUAGAAAAUGGUCAAGAUAUCUACAUGUACAAUAAUAGCUUUCCUGCAUUCUGAAGAGAUUUACCUUAACAAGAGUACCAAGAAUAUCAAGGGACUAAGGGAUCGAAUUACAUUUGCCUUUCCAGUAAAUUGUUAAUUUUUUAAUGAAAAUAUCGACCUAAAAUAAUAAAUAAUGUAGAAGCGCCCAAAGAUAAUGCUAAAUAAGGUAGAAGCAUUAAAAAAUGUUGAAGACCAUGCAGGUACAUUAUAUUUUGUAAAUCAUACAUGAAAUUUCAAAAAAUAAAAAUGUUUCAAGUGCAAAAUUGUAAGUAGCAAUGAAGAAUUAAUGUACAUGGUGCAUGCAUGUCUUAUAUUGGGCAAUAGAGAUGCACACUAUAUACAAGUACUGUACCCACUACCUAAUCAUCUAAUUUACUGAGGAACUGCAUAAUUUUUAUAACAUUAGUCAUCUAUAUCCUUCGUCUGUGUUUACUUCAAAGAUGUGUGAUAUUUUACUCAUGUAAUAAAUCAAAACUCGUAAAAUGAACAAAUUA
Lytechinus pictus (painted urchin) is the source of this 1806-nucleotide long non-coding RNA. RefSeq lists it as uncharacterized. The record is from RefSeq and is a predicted model, not a curated record. The transcript has 2 exons. Lineage: Eukaryota; Metazoa; Echinodermata; Echinoidea; Temnopleuroida; Toxopneustidae.